This 383-nucleotide ribosomal RNA is filed under the name uncultured eukaryote. Its description in RNAcentral is "SSU rRNA". It matches the Rfam family "Eukaryotic small subunit ribosomal RNA", at positions 587 to 969 of the family's 1831-position model. The record is from RNAcentral.
AGCUCCAAUAGCGUAUAUUAAAGUUGUUGCAGUUAAAAAGCUCAUAGUUGGAUUUCUAGCGGACGCGUCUGGUCUGCUCCGCGAGGAGUCGGUACUGAGCCGUCGUCUGUUAUCCUUGAGGAGAAUAUUCCUGGCAUUAAGUUGUCGGGAGUAGUAUCCUCAUCGUUUACUGUGAAAAAAUUAGAGUGUUCAAAGCAAGCUUAGGCUCUGAAUAUAUUAGCAUGGAAUAAUAAGAUAAGACCCUGGUGGUUUAUUUUGUUGGUUUGCACGCCGAGGUAAUGAUUAAUAGGGAUAGUUGGGGGUAUUCGUAUUCAAUUGUCAGAGGUGAAAUUCUUGGAUUUAUGGAAGACGAACUACUGCGAAAGCAUUUACCAAGGAUGUUU